This 329-nucleotide ribosomal RNA is filed under the name uncultured eukaryote. Its description in RNAcentral is "partial 18S ribosomal RNA". It matches the Rfam family "Eukaryotic small subunit ribosomal RNA", at positions 1470 to 1796 of the family's 1831-position model. The record is from RNAcentral.
CCCUUAGAUGUUCUGGGCCGCACGCGCGCUACACUGACGAUGGCAACGAGUUUUUCCUUCGCCGAAAGGUGUGGGUAAUCUUUUGAAACAUCGUCGUGCUGGGGAUAGAUCAUUGCAAUUUUUGAUCUUGAACGAGGAAUUCCUAGUAAGCGCGAGUCAUCAGCUCGCGUUGAUUACGUCCCUGCCCUUUGUACACACCGCCCGUCGCUACUACCGAUUGAAUGGUUUAGUGAGGACUCCUGAUUGGCGCCGCCGCCCCGGCAACGGAGCAGCGGACUGCCGAAAAGUUGUUCAAACUUGAUCAUUUAGAGGAAGUAAAAGUCGCAACA